ACUUGAAUCAAAGCUAAAUGAGGUUAAUCUCUCUCUCUCCUCCAUGUCUGACUUUCUGUGAAACUAUGUGAGUUGUAGGAAUGCUUUACUUUCCAUAAUUGAUAUAAGGAACCAAACAUAGUUUUAUCUCAAUGAUAUAUUCUUUCAAUCUGAUGACUAGGUCAUUAUUUUUGCAUAUGUGCAUUUUAUAGCUUGCAAGACAUGACUUGCUUACAUAGUAAAAGAAAUUAUCUAAAUCGUGAUAGUCUUUUUGGUAAGUCUUUGUAGCUCUUUCUACUUAAUUUAUUUAUUUUGGAAUUUAUGGUAUAUGCAUGUUUAAAUGAUACAAGCAUGAUGCACAUAUGUGUGUGCGUCAUGUGUGUAUAUAUAGUGUUUUAUGUAGGUGGCAACUGACAUUAAGUUUAUAUGGGCCUUUUCCAAUAAAAUAUAAUGCGUUUCUUGGGUUUCCCAUGCAGGCUGAAUCUACUAUUUCAAU
This 475-nucleotide unclassified non-coding RNA is filed under the name Hevea brasiliensis (rubber tree). Lineage: Eukaryota; Viridiplantae; Streptophyta; Magnoliopsida; Malpighiales; Euphorbiaceae. The record is from RNAcentral.